GCAAGUCGAGGGGUAACAGAGGUAGCUUGCUACUUGCUGACGACCGGCGCACGGGUGCGUAACGCGUAUACAAUCUACCUUAUACUGGGGAAUAGCCUUUGGAAACGAAGAUUAAUGCCCCAUAGUAUUAUUGAAUGGCAUCGUUUAAUAAUUAAAGUUUCGGCGGUAUAAGAUGAGUAUGCGUUCUAUUAGUUAGUUGGUAAGGUAACGGCUUACCAUUGCUACGAUGGGUAGGGGCCCUGAGAGGGGGAUC
This 253-nucleotide ribosomal RNA is filed under the name uncultured bacterium. RNAcentral describes it as "partial 16S ribosomal RNA". It matches the Rfam family "Bacterial small subunit ribosomal RNA", at positions 57 to 305 of the family's 1533-position model. The record is from RNAcentral.